This 301-nucleotide ribosomal RNA is filed under the name uncultured bacterium. RNAcentral describes it as "partial 16S ribosomal RNA". It matches the Rfam family "Bacterial small subunit ribosomal RNA", at positions 509 to 807 of the family's 1533-position model. The record is from RNAcentral.
CAGCAGCCACGGGAACACGAAGGGGGCUAGCGUUGUCCGGAAUUACUGGGCGUAAAGGGCGCGUAGGCGGCCAUUCAAGUUAGAUGUGAAAGCCCUGGGCUCAACCUAGGAAUUGCAUUUGAUACUGUUUGGCUUGAGUUCGGGAGAGGUGAGUGGAAUUCCCAGUGUAGAGGUGAAAUUCGUAGAUAUUGGGAAGAACACCAGUGGCGAAGGCGGCUCACUGGACCGACACUGACGCUGAGGCGCGAAAGCGUGGGGAGCAGACAGGAUUAGAUACCCCCGUAGUCCCUGUCUCUUAUAC